Molecule: RNase MRP RNA, 230 nt
Filed under: Apocalathium aciculiferum
Lineage: Eukaryota; Dinophyceae; Thoracosphaerales; Thoracosphaeraceae
Description: partial RNase MRP
Rfam family: RNase MRP
About the family: RNase MRP is an enzymatically active ribonucleoprotein with two distinct roles in eukaryotes.
Source: RNAcentral
AGCACGGCUUCGCAGCGUGCACACGGGGAGCUUGCUCCCAGAAAAGUUGCGAGGAAAGUCUCCGUGCCUUGGUGCAGAGAGUGCGAGUGGGAGACCACAGGGCUCGUGCCAGACUUCCAGUGGUGAUGCUUCCCGCGGAGCUUUGGUGGCGGGUUCGGGCCCUUCGCAGCAGCGCACACAUGCUGGUUGUGGUCAUGAUGGGAGCGCCAACAGCACGGGGCUCACUCUCC